This 497-nucleotide ribosomal RNA is filed under the name uncultured bacterium. RNAcentral describes it as "partial 16S ribosomal RNA". It matches the Rfam family "Bacterial small subunit ribosomal RNA", at positions 28 to 507 of the family's 1533-position model. The record is from RNAcentral.
GACGAACGCUGGCGGCGUGCCUAAUACAUGCAAGUUGAGCGCUGAAGGUUGGUACUUGUACCAACUGGAUGAGCAGCGAACGGGUGAGUAACGCGUGGGGAAUCUGCCUUGGAGCGGGGGACAACAUUUGGAAACGAAUGCUAAUACAGCAUAAAAACUUUAAACACAAGUUUUAAGUUUGAAAGAUGCAAUUGCAUCACUCAAAGAUGAUCCCGCGUUGUAUUAGCUAGUUGGUGAGGUAAAGGCUCACCAAGGCGAUGAUACAUAGGCGACCUGAGAGGGUGAUCGGCCACAUUGGGACUGAGAAACGGCCCCAACUCCUACGGGAGGCAGCAGUAGGGAAACAUCGGAAAUGGACGAAAGUCUGACCGCGCAACGCCGCGUGAGUGAAGAAGGUUUUCGGAUCGUAAAACUCUGUUGGUAGAGAAGAACGUUGGUGAGAGUGGAAAGCUCAUCAAGUGACGGUACCUACACAGAAAGGGACGGCUAACUACGUG